RNAcentral lists this ribosomal RNA (519 nucleotides) under uncultured bacterium. RNAcentral's name for it is "bacterial SSU rRNA". It matches the Rfam family "Bacterial small subunit ribosomal RNA", at positions 29 to 518 of the family's 1533-position model. The record is from RNAcentral.
ACGAACGCUGGCGGCGUGCCUAAUACAUGCAAGUCGAACGGCUUUUCUAUGGAAGCUUGCUUCCACUGAAAAGAUAGUGGCGAACGGGUGAGUAACACGUGGGGUAACCUGCCCAUAAGAGGGGGGAGUAACAUCCGGAAACGGGUGCUAAUACCGCAUAGUUUUCUUGAUCGCAUGAUCGGAAGGAAAGACGGCCUUUGUGCUGUCGCUUAUGGAUGGACCCGCGGCGUAUUAGUUAGUUGGUGAGGUAACGGCUCACCAAGACGAUGAUACGUAGCCGACCUGAGAGGGUGAUCGGCCACAUUGGGACUGAGACACGGCCCAAACUCCUACGGGAGGCAGCAGUAGGGAAUCUUCCGCAAUGGACGAAAGUCUGACGGAGGCAACGCCGCGUGAGUGAAGAAAAGGUUUUCGGAUCGUAAAACUCUGUUGUCAGAGAAGAACAAGUUGGAGAGUAACUGCUCCAGCCUUGACGGUAUCUGACCAGAAAGCCACGGCUAACUACGUGCCAGCAGCCGC